UCGGUCUCAUUUGUGUGAUAGGUUGUGUGUUAAUUUUCCGAAGUUUGGAAAUCUUGUUUACUGAAAUCAUCCCAUGACAUUUUCCCUACUUAUCGCGAAUCAUUUUUCGAUAUGUUAUCCAUCUUUCCACUACUCCAACUCAAACACAAUUAAUUAUGAAAUUUUGUAUGGAUAUAUGACCGAAAAAGUAAGUGUAUUUUGGUGAAAUAGGUAGCAAAAUCCAUUAUAUUAAGUCUUUUAACAUAUACCACAAACAAAAAUGUUAGAAUUCACCCAUCUCAAAUAACACAAUGUCCUUGUUGCGUCCCAAGAUCGUCAUCUAUAUUAGAGUGAGUCAACACAAGACUACACACUCGUUUGAGUUUAGCUUGAUACCACUUAUAACGCUCUGACCGUUUACGGUUAAUGGAUUUUUCCACAUAUCCACUCGGUCU
Molecule: long non-coding RNA, 434 nt
Filed under: Brassica napus (rape)
Lineage: Eukaryota; Viridiplantae; Streptophyta; Magnoliopsida; Brassicales; Brassicaceae
Description: long non-coding RNA (BNAP_LNC018344)
Source: RNAcentral